GAUGAACGCUGGCGGCGUGCCUAAUACAUGCCAGUCGAGCGAACAGACGAGGAGCUUGCUCCUCUGACGUUAGCGGCGGACGGGUGAGUAACACGUGGAUAACCUACCUAUAAGACUGGGAUAACUUCGGGAAACCGGAGCUAAUACCGGAUAAUAUAUUGAACCGCAUGGUUCAAUAGUGAAAGACGGUUUUGCUGUCACUUAUAGAUGGAUCCGCGCCGCAUUAGCUAGUUGGUAAGGUAGCGGCUUACCAAGGCGACGAUGCGUAGCCGACCUGAGAGGGUGAUCGGCCACACUGGAACUGAGACACGGUCCAGACUCCUACGGGAGGCAGCAGUAGGGAAUCUUCCGCAAUGGGCGAAAGCCUGACGGAGCAACGCCGCGUGAGUGAUGAAGGUCUUCGGAUCGUAAAACUCUGUUAUUAGGGAAGAACAAAUGUGUAAGUAACUAUGCACGUCUUGACGGUACCUAAUCAGAAAGCCACGGCUAACUACGUG
This 497-nucleotide ribosomal RNA is filed under the name uncultured bacterium. RNAcentral's name for it is "partial 16S ribosomal RNA". It matches the Rfam family "Bacterial small subunit ribosomal RNA", at positions 28 to 507 of the family's 1533-position model. The record is from RNAcentral.